UUUUAAAGCGUUUCGAGGAUCGUAAAGCCUCGAUGCUUUGAAAGAAAAUUCCGUACCAGCAGAGCAGUUUGUUAUUGACAGUCGAAGGCACGCAAGAUGCUAUCGAAUGCAGGAGUUCGCUGGAUUCUUCUUCUUUUCGAUCUGCAUUUUUAUCGCGGGACUUUGUGUAUGCGUAUUUCUCCGGACGAGCAUCAAGAACUCGAAUACGAUUUGUUACGUUUGUAACUUGCAAUAUAAUUUGAUUGGAGAAUAACCGUAUCUUUAAACCGUAAAUAUCUUUCACUUUGAUUCAUGCGAGAUUAAAAAUAUAUAUUCCGCGGAACGCUAAAAAUAAAAACAAAUUU
This 344-nucleotide unclassified non-coding RNA is filed under the name Bombus terrestris (buff-tailed bumblebee). Its description in RNAcentral is "misc RNA ENSBTSG00005038936.1". The record is from RNAcentral. Lineage: Eukaryota; Metazoa; Arthropoda; Insecta; Hymenoptera; Apidae.